Molecule: ribosomal RNA, 253 nt
Filed under: uncultured bacterium
Lineage: Bacteria
Description: partial 16S ribosomal RNA
Rfam family: Bacterial small subunit ribosomal RNA
Source: RNAcentral
GACAGAGGAGGCAAGCGUUAUCCGGAAUUAUUGGGCGUAAAGCGUCCGUAGGUGGUUUGACAAGUCUGGGGUUAAAGCCCGGAGCCCAACUCCGGAUCGGACCUGGAUACUGUCAGACUUGAGUAAGGUAGGGGUUGCGGGAAUUCCCGGUGUAGCGGUGAUAUGAGUAGAUAUCGGGAAGAACACCAGCGGCGAAAGCGCGCAACUGGGCCAUUACUGACACUGAGGGACGAAAGCUAGGGGAGCGAAUGGG